UGAUACUCUGAUAACAUACCGUGAC
This 25-nucleotide unclassified non-coding RNA is filed under the name Mus musculus (house mouse). RNAcentral's name for it is "oocyte_clustered_small_RNA6841". Lineage: Eukaryota; Metazoa; Chordata; Mammalia; Rodentia; Muridae. The record is from RNAcentral.